Protobothrops mucrosquamatus (brown spotted pit viper) is the source of this 589-nucleotide non-coding RNA. Lineage: Eukaryota; Metazoa; Chordata; Lepidosauria; Squamata; Viperidae. The record is from the annotation of a RefSeq genome assembly.
ACCCACCACUUUGAGCACUUUCCCGGAUCCUUUCCUAUCAAUUCCCUCCAUUCAGUGAAGAGAGCAAAACACAAAAAUGAUCCUGUGGUUAAAUUUGGUGUCCUUACUAGCGGUCCUCAAAGGUAUCAAAUCUGAGGUCCAAUUGGUGGAAUCUGGAGGGGACGUGAGAAGACCUGGGCAGUCCCUCCGUCUCUCCUGCCAAGGAUCUGGCUACACCUUUAGCAGCUAUUCCAUGGAUUGGGUGAGACAGGCUCCAGGAAAAGGACUGGAAUGGGUGGCAUACAUCCGCUCUGACAGCAGUAGUAUUCACUAUUUAGACACAGUGAAGGGCCGCUUCACCAUCUCCAGAGACAAUGCCAAAAGCCAGCUGUAUCUGCAAAUGAACAGCCUCACAGCUGAAGACACGGCAGUCUAUUACUGUACGAGACACACAGUGAGAGGAAGUGAAUCUGAAGCUUGGCAAAAACCAGCCAUUCUUCACAGCAGUUCUGCAAAUCUUUUCAGCCUCAGAAUAGAGCUACAUUUUCCUAUGAGAGAAAAUAUGCCUGAUUUCCAAGGCAGGAAAGAGCUGAUAAUAUCAGCUCUGUGA